This 253-nucleotide ribosomal RNA is filed under the name uncultured bacterium. Its description in RNAcentral is "partial 16S ribosomal RNA". It matches the Rfam family "Bacterial small subunit ribosomal RNA", at positions 524 to 776 of the family's 1533-position model. The record is from RNAcentral.
UACGUAGGGUGCAAGCGUUGUCCGGAAUUAUUGGGCGUAAAGAGCUUGUAGGCGGUUUGUCGCGUCUGCUGUGAAAUUUCGGGGCUCAACCCCGAACUUGCAGUGGGUACGGGCAGACUAGAGUGUGGUAGGGGAGACUGGAAUUCCUGGUGUAGCGGUGGAAUGCGCAGAUAUCAGGAGGAACACCGGUGGCGAAGGCGGGUCUCUGGGCCGUUACUGACGCUGAGGAGCGAAAGCAUGGGGAGCGAACAGG